AAGAAGGGAGAGAAACCGUUCUCCCAUGGGUCUCAAACCCCCACAUUUCACACGUCUUUCCCAUUCCAAGGCAGCUGCCUCCACAUCACAGCUGUGCCGCCACCACAGCCCGCUGCUUGCCCCACCUCAGGCAGAGGGAGCCUGGCUUCAGCUUCUGAGGGAUCUGCCUCCUGGCCAGCGGUGGUCACUCCAGACCUGGGACCCAGAAGCACGGAAGCCCGCGUGGCUUCCAUGAGAUGUGGAGUUUUGUUCUACCAUGUUCUCCCUUCCAGGAUGUGGUAUCUGACCACAGGCCCAAAAGCAAUGGGGGCAACUAACUGGGCCUCGUGGACCAAAGCAGUAAACCAAUAUAAACAUUUUCUCCUUUAGGUAGAUUUUUCUCAGGUAUUUUGCCACAGUGACAGAAAGUCAACACACAACCUCCCUUAGUUUUCUUCCAGAUAAAUAUCUCCAGUCCAUCUAUCACUUUGACUUUUUUCCUAGUGCUUUCCCCAUUCUGACCAUUCCAGUUGCAAAACAUCUAUCUCCAGUGUAGCCUCAGAACUGAAUACUUCUAGUCCAUAGAAGCUUGUCCAGCUUCAUUCUUUCACUUAAUGCAACUUGACCUAGAUGCAUGAUAGAUAUCACACCUAUGAUUAGGCCAUAGGGAAAAGUUAAAGUUUUGCAAACAUAAUUAAAGUCCCAAAUUACAUGGUUUUGAGUAAAGAAAAAAAAAGGGAAUUAUCCUGGAUGGGCCUGACUUGAUAAAGGUAAAGGAUCAUAAACAAUGAACUGAGCUCUCCAGGAGAGAGACACUUGCUGCUGACAGUGAAGAAACAAUUGACCAUGUUGUGAACUGCCUGUGGAGAGGGGUUGUUCUCUAGGAGCCAGACAUCAGUCCUACUACCUCAAGAAUUCUACCAUCAACGUGAAUGAGCUUGGAAGAGGACUAAAAGCACCAGGUGUGAACACAUCUUGAUGACAGCCUUUUGAAUUCCUAAGAACCUCAAGAACCCAGGUACACCCAGACUCCGGACACACAGAAACAAUGAGAUACAACAUCAUGGAUUGCAUUCACAUUUCAUCAUGAUAAAUUAAAUAUCAACUAUGUUUAUAGGUGCCUUUGUUAAAUCCACCUUCUUCCACCCAGUAUCUUUGUUAUUUUUAAUAAAUUCCAUAAUUUUGUUUCAACCGUGA
Long non-coding RNA from Ictidomys tridecemlineatus (thirteen-lined ground squirrel), 1176 nucleotides. RefSeq lists it as uncharacterized. The record is from RefSeq and is a predicted model, not a curated record. NCBI's taxonomy places the organism in Eukaryota, Metazoa, Chordata, Mammalia, Rodentia, Sciuridae.